GCUGUAAUUCGGUGGCAGAGCAUCUGCUUUGCAUGCAGGAAGCCCCAGGUUCCAUCCUUGGCAUAUCCA
Non-coding RNA from Podarcis lilfordi (Lilford's wall lizard), 69 nucleotides. The record is from the annotation of a GenBank genome assembly. Lineage: Eukaryota; Metazoa; Chordata; Lepidosauria; Squamata; Lacertidae.